This 376-nucleotide ribosomal RNA is filed under the name uncultured bacterium. RNAcentral describes it as "bacterial SSU rRNA". It matches the Rfam family "Bacterial small subunit ribosomal RNA", at positions 524 to 898 of the family's 1533-position model. The record is from RNAcentral.
UACGUAGGUGGCAAGCGUUGUCCGGAUUUACUGGGCGUAAAGGGAGCGUAGGCGGAUACUUAAGUGGGAUGUGAAAUACCUGGGCUUAACUUGGGUGCUGCAUUCCAAACUGGGUGUCUAGAGUGUUGGAGAGGAAAGUGGAAUUCCUAGUGUAGCGGUGAAAUGCGUAGAGAUUAGGAAGAACACCAGUGGCGAAGGCGACUUUCUGGACAAUAACUGACGCUGAGGCUCGAAAGCGUGGGGAGCAAACAGGAUUAGAUACCCUGGUAGUCCACGCCGUAAACGAUGGGUACUAGGUGUAGGGGGUAUAGACUCACCCUGUGCCGCCGUUAACACAAUAAGUACCCCGCCUGGGGAGUACGGUCGCAAGAUUAAA